GGCUCCAUAGUGUAGUGGUUAGCAUGUCUGUUUUACAUGCGGAAGGUCCUGGGUUCGCAUCCCAGGUGGAGCCA
RNAcentral lists this transfer RNA (74 nucleotides) under Pteropus alecto (black flying fox). It matches the Rfam family "tRNA". Rfam says of the family: Transfer RNA (tRNA) molecules are approximately 80 nucleotides in length. Lineage: Eukaryota; Metazoa; Chordata; Mammalia; Chiroptera; Pteropodidae. The record is from Rfam by way of RNAcentral.